AAUCAACGCUGGCGGCGUGCCUAACACAUGCAAGUCGCACGAGAAAGGGGAGCAAUCCCUGAGUAAAGUGGCGCACGGGUGAGUAACACGUGAAUUAUCUACCUCCGAGUGGGGAAUAACUGAGAGAAAUCUUAGCUAAUACCGCAUAACACUUACGAGUCAAAGCAGCAAUGCGCUUGGAGAGGAGUUCGCGGCCGAUUAGUUAGUUGGCGGGGUAAUGGCCCACCAAGACGAUGAUCGGUAUCCGGCCUGAGAGGGCGCACGGACACACUGGAACUGAAACACGGUCCAGACUCCUACGGGAGGCAGCAGUGGGGAAUUUUGCGCAAUGGGGAAACCCUGACGCAGCAACGCCGCGUGGAGGAUGAAGUAUCUUGGUACGUAAACUCCUUUCGAUUGGGAAGAUAAUGACGGUACCAAUAGAAGAAGCCCCGGCUAACUUCGUGCCAGCCGCCGCGGU
RNAcentral lists this ribosomal RNA (460 nucleotides) under uncultured bacterium. Its description in RNAcentral is "bacterial SSU rRNA". It matches the Rfam family "Bacterial small subunit ribosomal RNA", at positions 32 to 521 of the family's 1533-position model. The record is from RNAcentral.